RNAcentral lists this ribosomal RNA (403 nucleotides) under uncultured bacterium. RNAcentral describes it as "partial 16S ribosomal RNA". It matches the Rfam family "Bacterial small subunit ribosomal RNA", at positions 30 to 526 of the family's 1533-position model. The record is from RNAcentral.
AUUGAACGCUGGCGGCAGGCCUAACACAUGCAAGUCGAGCGAGCGGCGGACGGGUGAGUAAUGUAUGGGGACUGCCCGAUAGAGGGGGAUAACUACUGGAAACGGUGGCUAAUACCGCAUACUAUCGGAUAACCCAUAUGGGAUUAGCUAGUAGGGGGGGUAAAGGCUCACCUAGGCGACGAUCUCUAGCUGGUCUGAGAGGAUGAUCAGCCACACUGGGACUGAGACACGGCCCGUGCUCCUGCGGAGGCAGCAGUGGGGGAUAUUGCACAAUGGGCGCAAGCCUGAUGGAUCCAUGCCGCGUGUAUGAAGGAGGCCUUAGGGGUGUAAAGUACUUUCAGCGGGGAGGCGUUACCCGCAGAAGAAACACCGGCUAACUCCGUGCCAGCAGCCGCGGUAAUUC